CCAGACUCCUACGGGAGGCAGCAGUGAGGAAUAUUGGUCAAUGGUCGGGAGACUGAACCAGCCAAGCCGCGUGAGGGAUGAAGGUACAGAGUAUCGUAAACCUCUUUUGUCAGGGAACAAAGGCGGGGACGCGUCCCCGGAUGAGUGUACCUGAAGAAAAAGCAUCGGCUAACUCCGUGCCAGCAGCCGCGGUAAUACGGAGGAUGCGAGCGUUAUCCGGAUUUAUUGGGUUUAAAGGGUGCGUAGGCGGGACCUUAAGUCAGCGGUAAAAUUGCGGUGCUCAACGCCGUAGAGCCGUUGAAACUGGCGGGCUGGAGUUGGAGAGAAGUACGCGGAAUGCGCGGUGUAGCGGUGAAAUGCUUAGAUAUCGCGCAGAACCCCGAUUGCGAAGGCAGCGUACCGGCUCCACACUGACGCUGAGGCACGAAAGCGUGGGUAUCGAACAGGAUUAGAUACCCCAGUA
Molecule: ribosomal RNA, 463 nt
Filed under: uncultured bacterium
Lineage: Bacteria
Description: bacterial SSU rRNA
Rfam family: Bacterial small subunit ribosomal RNA
Source: RNAcentral